This 478-nucleotide ribosomal RNA is filed under the name uncultured bacterium. Its description in RNAcentral is "partial 16S ribosomal RNA". It matches the Rfam family "Bacterial small subunit ribosomal RNA", at positions 28 to 507 of the family's 1533-position model. The record is from RNAcentral.
GAUGAACGCUGGCGGCGUGCCUAACACAUGCAAGUCGAACGGAGUCCAGCCUUUAAGACCUUCUGGUCAAAGAGGGGAAGACUGAGUGGCGGACGGGUGAGUAACACGUGGGCAACCUGGCUCAUAGAGGGGGAUAACAGAGAGAAAUUUCUGCUAAUACCGCAUAAGCACACACUGCCGCAUGGCAGAGGGUGAAAAGAGAAUCGCUAUGAGAUGGACCCGCGUCUGAUUAGCCAGUUGGCAGGGUAAGAGCCUACCAAAGCGACGAUCAGUAGCCGAUCUGAGAGGAUGAACGGCCACAUUGGGACUGAGACACGGCCCAAACUCCUACGGGAGGCAGCAGUGGGGGAUAUUGCACAAUGGGGGGAACCCUGAUGCAGCGACGCCGCGUGAGUGAAGAAGUAUUUCGGUAUGUAAAGCUCUAUCAGCAGGGAAGAUAAUGACAGUACCUGAAUAAGAAGCCCCGGCUAACUACGUG